CAAAUUUUGUUCCAGAUUUCUUCCAAAUCAAGAGAUGAUAUUCACGCGAUUCGUCAUCUCUCUCCAGUUUGAAUGAUAUUCACGCUUUUUCAUCCAAAUCUGACGACAUAGAAAUUGAUUCGAUUAUCAGAUUUGAAUUGGAUGUUUUUCCAGAAGGUUCGGGAAGCAAUUCUGCAAGCUGAUUGGGGUUCAUGAAGGAGAAGGUUGUGAAGUUGAUAACGAAACCAUUGCAUCGGUGUGGAAAAUACAGAGAAAUGUGUGCCCAUGACUCUAUAAAUUUUGGCAGACAAAAAGGAACAAGAGAGCACUUAGUUCAUUUUGAAGUGCUUGAAUAUUGUAAUUGAACUCAAUGAAUUUAAUCUACUCCGAUUUGUAGCAAUUUACUUCGGAUUCUCCCCUUUGAUUUCUAUGAAUCUCUUCUUGCUCAA
Molecule: non-coding RNA, 428 nt
Organism: Salvia hispanica
Lineage: Eukaryota; Viridiplantae; Streptophyta; Magnoliopsida; Lamiales; Lamiaceae
Source: RefSeq, a predicted model, not a curated record